RNAcentral lists this ribosomal RNA (450 nucleotides) under uncultured Glomus. RNAcentral describes it as "SSU rRNA". It matches the Rfam family "Eukaryotic small subunit ribosomal RNA", at positions 569 to 1025 of the family's 1831-position model. The record is from RNAcentral. Lineage: Eukaryota; Fungi; Glomeromycota; Glomeromycetes; Glomerales; Glomeraceae.
AGCAGCCGCGGUAAUUCCAGCUCCAAUAGCGUAUAUUAAAGUUGUUGCAGUUAAAAAGCUCGUAGUUGAAUUUCGGGAUUAGUACGCUGGUCGUGCCUUUGGUAUGUACUGGUGUUACUGAUUCCUACCUUCUGAUGAACCGUCAUGUCAUUAAUUUGGUGUGGCGGGGAAUCAGGACUGUUACUUUGAAAAAUUGAGUGUUUAAAGCAGGCUCGCGCUUGAAUACAUUAGCAUGGAAUAAUGAAAUAGGACGUUCGAUCCUAUUUUGUUGGUUUCUAGGAUUGACGUAAUGAUUAAUAGGGAUAGUUGGGGGCAUUAGUAUUCAAUUGUCAGAGGUGAAAUUCUUGGAUUUAUUGAAGACUAACUACUGCGAAAGCAUUUGCCAAGGAUGUUUUCAUUAAUCAAGAACGAAAGUUAGGGGAUCGAAGACGAUCAGAUACCGUCGUAGUC